AUCUGCAGAAUUCUCAGGAGGGAAGAGAAGGAGUUGAGCCAUAACCUCCUAACCUCUGCGGCACACCCUCGGCCAGCAACCUCAUUCUCCUUCUGGCAUUUGGAGGGCUCUGUGGAUCCCUUGCCCUCAGAAAUGCUAUCAACAUAAUGAAAGUUGAGAUGAAAAUUAAUCAUUUGCUGAGCUUCCUCCUGCAUCUGUUUUAAAACCUUCUGAGGGUGAGAGGAAUCUGUAGAACUUUGGAAGGCUGUGCUGGGAUUCCCACUGACUGUACUGGGACAUCUGAGGUGAUCCAUUCGAAGCAGUUAUUAGGAAGAAAUGAGAUGACACUGUUUCUCAGCAUUUGAGAUCAAGAACCUCAGAUUGGAACAGGGCCAGCACUUUAGUAGCUGAAAGCAGUCUGUGCAUUCAUUUGAAAUGAAGGAUGGGAAGUUCCCUGAAAAGGUUUAAAGUCUUAAUUCAAUUGAUAUUGGCACAAUAAACUCUAGGACACAUCCAAAUCCAUUACGAAGACUCCUCAUGCCAGCAGAUUUGCAAAACUAGAUGUGGAAUUGCAUCAAGUUCUUUCUGCUCUACGUUUUAAGAGACACACUCAAGAGUUUCAUGCAGACCUGUCAUCACAUUCUGGCUCUCUCAUUUUCCUGGAAAGUUGGGCAAGCUACUUCAAAUUUUGGAGUCUCAUUUUCCUCAUCUGUGGAAUGAAUGUCAUAAUACAUAUUCACUGACUUAACAUGAGGACGGCAUGUGUUAAUAAUAAACCUAAUCUUGUGACCA
RNAcentral lists this long non-coding RNA (771 nucleotides) under Sus scrofa (pig). RNAcentral describes it as "lncRNA (ENSSSCG00060063360.1, ENSSSCG00070017228.1)". The record is from RNAcentral. Lineage: Eukaryota; Metazoa; Chordata; Mammalia; Artiodactyla; Suidae.